RNAcentral lists this ribosomal RNA (489 nucleotides) under uncultured bacterium. RNAcentral describes it as "partial 16S ribosomal RNA". It matches the Rfam family "Bacterial small subunit ribosomal RNA", at positions 30 to 506 of the family's 1533-position model. The record is from RNAcentral.
AUUGAACGCUGGCGGCAUGCCUUACACAUGCAAGUCGAACGGCAGCAUGAUCUAGCUUGCUAGAUUGAUGGCGAGUGGCGAACGGGUGAGUAAUACAUCGGAACGUGCCCUGUAGUGGGGGAUAACUAGUCGAAAGAUUAGCUAAUACCGCAUACGACCUGAGGGUGAAAGUGGGGGACCGCAAGGCCUCAUGCUAUAGGAGCGGCCGAUGUCUGAUUAGCUAGUUGGUGAGGUAAAGGCUCACCAAGGCGACGAUCAGUAGCUGGUCUGAGAGGACGAUCAGCCACACUGGGACUGAGACACGGCCCAGACUCCUACGGGAGGCAGCAGUGGGGAAUUUUGGACAAUGGGCGAAAGCCUGAUCCAGCAAUGCCGCGUGUGUGAAGAAGGCCUUCGGGUUGUAAAGCACUUUUGUCCGGAAAGAAAUGGCUCUGGUUAAUGCCUGGGGUCGAUGACGGUACCGGAAGAAUAAGGACCGGCUAACUACGU